UACGGAGGAGGCAAGCGUUAUCCGGAAUUAUUGGGCGUAAAGCGUCCGCAGGUGGCACUUCAAGUCUGUCGUCAAAGACUGGGGCUUAACCCUGGAAAGGCGGUGGAAACUGAAGCGCUAGAGUACGGAAGAGGCGAGUGGAAUUCCCGGUGUAGCGGUGAAAUGCGCAGAUAUCGGGAGGAACACCAAUUGCGAAGGCAGCUCGCUGGGACGUUACUGACGCUGAGACGCGAAAGCGUGGGGAGCAAACAGG
Molecule: ribosomal RNA, 253 nt
Filed under: uncultured bacterium
Lineage: Bacteria
Description: partial 16S ribosomal RNA
Rfam family: Bacterial small subunit ribosomal RNA
Source: RNAcentral